AGUCGAUUAAGCGCUUCAGCCGAGGAAGCUCGGAUCUCUGAGAACUAAAGAAGAGAUUGAUGGUUUCAGAAUUGUCAAAUUGUUUCUGUCUUGUCCAAUUAUCCACUUGGAUCUCUAAAAGCUCCAGCAGAAAUCGAUGAUCUUUAAGCAGGGAAUCCACGGAUAGUAGCAGCCGGUGGCCGCGGAUAGAUCUCGCGAUCCACGGCCUACCAGAGAAUGGAAAGUGUUUGAUCUACUCACUCGUUUUGGAGCGCGGUUCUCUGGGUCCAUCGACGGUCACCUUGAUGGCUCUCGUAUACGUGGCCACUUGGGGUGGUGUCGUUGAUACAGUAAUUGUGAUGCUGAAACUUUUUCCUAAAACAGAAAAAUCGAAUAUGAUAAAAGAACGAUAUGUAUAUGUACC
RNAcentral lists this unclassified non-coding RNA (403 nucleotides) under Bombus terrestris (buff-tailed bumblebee). RNAcentral's name for it is "misc RNA ENSBTSG00005036549.1". Lineage: Eukaryota; Metazoa; Arthropoda; Insecta; Hymenoptera; Apidae. The record is from RNAcentral.